UACGGAGGGGGCUAGCGUUGUUCGGAAUUACUGGGCCUAAAGCAUCCGUAGCCGGUUCUACGAGUCUUCCGUUAAAUCCAACUGCUUAACAGGUGGGCUGCGGAAGAUACUAUAGAGCUAGGAGGCGGGAGAGGCAAGCGGUACUCGAUGGGUAGGGGUAAAAUCCGUUGAUCCAUUGAAGACCACCAGUGGCGAAGGCGGCUUGCCAGAACGCGCUCGACGGUGAGGGAUGAAAGCUGGGGGAGCAAACCGG
RNAcentral lists this ribosomal RNA (253 nucleotides) under uncultured bacterium. Its description in RNAcentral is "partial 16S ribosomal RNA". It matches the Rfam family "Bacterial small subunit ribosomal RNA", at positions 524 to 776 of the family's 1533-position model. The record is from RNAcentral.